GGGACACGUGGUAUCCUGUCUGAAUAUGGGGGGACCAUCCUCCAAGGCUAAAUACUCCUGACUGACCGAUAGUGAACCAGUACCGUGAGGGAAAGGCGAAAAGAACCCCGGCGAGGGGAGUGAAAAAGAACCUGAAACCGUGUACGUACAAGCAGUGGGAGCACCCUUUUGGGUGUGACUGCGUACCUUUUGUAUAAUGGGUCAGCGACUUAUAUUCUGUAGCAAGGUUAACCGAAUAGGGGAGCCGGAGGGAAACCGAGUCUUAAUUGGGCGUUAAGUUGCAGGGUAUAGACCCGAAACCCGGUGAUCUAGCCAUGGGCAGGUUGAAGGUUGGGUAACACUAACUGGAGGACCGAACCGACUAAUGUUGAAAAAUUAGCGGAUGACCUGUGGCUGGGGGUGAAAGGCCAAUCAAACCGGGAGAUAGCUGGUUCUCCCCGAAAGCUAUUUAGGUAGCGCCUCGUGAACUCAUCUCCGGGGGUAGAGCACUGUUUCGGCUAGGGGGCCAUCCCGGCUUACCAACCCGAUGCAAACUGCGAAUACCGGAGAAUGUUAUCACGGGAGACACACGGCGGGUGCUAACGUCCGUCGUGAAGAGGGAAACAACCCAGACCGCCAGCUAAGGUCCCAAAGUCAUGGUUAAGUGGGAAACGAUGUGGGAAGGCCCAGACAGCCAGGAUGUUGGCUUAGAAGCAGCCAUCAUUUAAAGAAAGCGUAAUAGCUCACUGGUCGAGUCGGCCUGCGCGGAAGAUGUAACGGGGCUAAACCAUGCACCGAAGCUGCGGCAGCGACGCUCAGGCGUUGUUGGGUAGGGGAGCGUUCUGUAAGCCUGUGAAGGUGGCCUGUGAGGGUUGCUGGAGGUAUCAGAAGUGCGAAUGCUGACAUAAGUAACGAUAAAGCGGGUGAAAAGCCCGCUCGCCGGAAGACCAAGGGUUCCUGUCCAACGUUAAUCGGGGCAGGGUGAGUCGACCCCUAAGGCGAGGCCGAAAGGCGUAGUCGAUGGGAAACGGGUUAAUAUUCCCGUACUUGGUGUUACUGCGAAGGGGGGACGGAGAAGGCUAUGUUGGCCGGGCGACGGUUGUCCCGGUUUAAGCGUGUAGGUGUGUGUUCCAGGUAAAUCCGGUUCACUUUAACACUGAGGCGUGACGACGAGGCACUACGGUGCUGAAGCAACAAAUGCCCUGCUUCCAGGAAAAGCCUCUAAGCAUCAGGUAACAUCAAAUCGUACCCCAAACCGACACAGGUGGUCAGGUAGAGAAUACCAAGGCGCUUGAGAGAACUCGGGUGAAGGAACUAGGCAAAAUGGUGCCGUAACUUCGGGAGAAGGCACGCUGACACGUAGGUGAAGUGAUUUACUCAUGGAGCUGAAGUCAGUCGAAGAUACCAGCUGGCUGCAACUGUUUAUUAAAAACACAGCACUGUGCAAACACGAAAGUGGACGUAUACGGUGUGACGCCUGCCCGGUGCCGGAAGGUUAAUUGAUGGGGUC
This 1489-nucleotide ribosomal RNA is filed under the name Salmonella enterica subsp. enterica serovar Oslo. Its description in RNAcentral is "partial 23S ribosomal RNA". It matches the Rfam family "Bacterial large subunit ribosomal RNA", at positions 419 to 1891 of the family's 2925-position model. The record is from RNAcentral. Lineage: Bacteria; Pseudomonadati; Pseudomonadota; Gammaproteobacteria; Enterobacterales; Enterobacteriaceae.